Molecule: long non-coding RNA, 424 nt
Filed under: Carica papaya (papaya)
Lineage: Eukaryota; Viridiplantae; Streptophyta; Magnoliopsida; Brassicales; Caricaceae
Description: long non-coding RNA (CPAP_LNC003428)
Source: RNAcentral
UACUGAGCGACAUAAAGCCCCAAAUCACCCGACUAGAGCUAAAUUUAUUGAACUCUUUCGAGCUACCCAAGGAUUAAUUUCAGCCGUAGGAUAAAAUCAAGCCAACCCUUGUCCACCUCCUACCCCAAAUUCUGAAACACCAAGAGAUCCAUUUCCUAGAACAUACCGAAGUUUAGAAAACUUAACCCCCCACACUUUGAAGGUGGCCCUGAUCCAUUAGUAAUCGAAGCCUAGAUCCUACAAAUAGAUAAUAUUUUCUUUGUCCUAGACUGGAUCAAGGAAUAGAAAGUUUCCCUUGCAGCCUUCAUGCUAAACAGCGAAGCAAAACACUGGUGGUGACUUAAAAAGGAAGUCCUGCCUACUCCUACCACUUCGAAAGUUUUUAUGGAUGCAUUCGAUGAUAACUUCUUCCUUGCCUAUAUUG